UUUUCUUUGUCGGGCGCGGUGUAGUUUCCCCUUUUCAUCUGGGAGCAGAGAGCGAGAAGGAGGAACAGGCGCUCGUGGACGCGAUUUUGUCUGUUCAUGUCGAUUCCGAGUUUCCCCACCGCUCGAGCUUGAUUUCCCCUCCCUUUCUCUUCGAUCCACGGUUGCCGCGGUUGGUUAUUCUCGUCUUUCUCCCUCCCCCAUCUGAUUUUUGCUUGUUUAUACCUGUGUAGCUUCCAGAUCUGGGUGAGUCUUUUGUUAGGAUUCAUCGUAGGUGUAUGUUGCUGCCGUUUUGUUUGUGUUUUUUUUGCUCUUUGUAGUUUUAGCGGUUGGUUCUGAUUCGUGGCAUGAGUAGUCCGGCAUUUCUCCCCCUGUACUCGCCUGUGAUGUAUGGUUUCUUCUGUUAGUACUAGUCAAUUGGUGUAGGCGCUGGUGGGUGGCUCGAUUUUGUAGGUUGGUUUAGAUCUAGGUCAUGAGAUGGGUGUUUUUGUGGUUAGGGUUGGUGAUUUGCGCUAGUAGGUGGUCUCUGUAUUGGUCUUUUUGCUCUUGUUGUUCCUGAACCCUCUUGAGUUUUUGUUGUAGAUGUAUGGCUUUUGGUAGGUUAGAUGUAGGUGUUAGUUCCCUUGUUUAGGGUCUUCUCAGUGCAUCGUAUUUAGUGAGUUAGCUCUGCUUUCCAUGGUUAGUAUGUUGUUCUGCUGCAUUUCCAUGGUUUUAUUUCACUUUAAUCCCCAUGUGUUCUAGCCGUGUAGGUGUUCCCCUGUGUAUUAGCAUUGUAGUUUUCAUUAUUUUGUCAGUGUUAGAUCAUCUCACUGAAUUUUUGUGUGCUAGCUCUGUAGUGCUGAUGUAUUAGAGUGUAAGCACAUGAAUUACAGUGUAAUUUAGCCCAUAAUUAUAGUGUAUUAUACCCUCAGAAUUACAGGGUAAUUUAGCCCACAAUUUCAGUGUAAUGUCCAUGUUUCUUUUUGUAAUUGCAGUGUAGUUUACCCUAGAAUUGCAGUGUAAUUUAGCCUAGAAUCUUUUUGGUAUAAUCCCGGUGCUUCACUUUUGUAUUUACAGUGUAACUUUUACCAGAAUUACAGUGUAACCCUCAUGCUUCAUUAUGUAAGGGCAGUGUAAUCUUCCCCUAGAAUUACAGUGCAAUUUUUCCUAGAAUUUCAGUGUAAUUUCCAUGUUUAGCCUCUGUAUUUCUUGAUAUUUGAGCUUCAUUCUUGUUCAGAUUUGCUUGAAUAAUUACAGUGGAUUUUAUCUCUGACUAGUGUGAUUAUUCUAUGUAGUUCCUAGGUUAUUUUCAUUGGAAUUCCCUAGUGUGAUUAUUCAUUCCUUCACCGCCCCGUGUGUACUAGCACUGUAACAAGCUCUGGUUUGAAUUGUUUUUAUGCAUGCCUUCUUCUGAUAGGACUUGUGUUCUUUUAUGCUGAUAGGUUCGUCUCUGUAUUCAUGACUUCAUCUGAGUUUGCUUGUAUUUUCUGUACUUAUUCUUUUCAGCUUUUGCUUGAAUUAUAGUGGAUUAACUCUUUGAAUUACAAUGUAAUACCUCUUAAUUUAUUUGUAAUAUUCCCAAGACUUGCAGUGUAAUAUAUCACUGAAUUACAUUGUAAUAUACUCCAGAUUUAUGCUAUAAUAUCUCUCAAAAUUACAUUGUAAUUUAGCUCUGAAUUGUACACUGUAAAUUUCUGCGCUUUUUACACUGUAAUUCCUGUAAUUUUUCUUUGUUUGCCUCAGAGUUUCACUGUGUUAUGACUGAUUUUUACACUGUAAUUCGUCUAAUUCUCACACUAUAAUUCGUUUGAUUCUCACACUGUAAGUCUACCCCAGAGUUACAAUUUAUUCCCUUCGGUUUUGCCCUGUAAUUUUCAGCUUUCAUUUUGCACUGUAUUAUGAUUGGGAUGCAAGUUGAACGAGGGUCCUGGGAAUCGCCAGUUGUUUCCUGAUUUUGUUCUUUUUCUUUGUCAGGUGCUUUGUGGUCCAGGAAAGGGAAAAGGAGCGUGGGCGACAGGUUCAAGAGGGUUUUGUGAUAGUUGCAUGGUUUUGUUUUGGUUAAGUUAGAACUGGGUCAGAUUUUUAGCUGCCCGAUCUAUUUUUUUAGAAAUGCAAACAUAAAAUUGUUGAUGGUAUUGGGAUAUACAGGUGUCAACAUUUAUUUAUGAUCUGCCCAUUACCAUCUCCCCCGUGUGUGUCGUUUCCUUUUCCUUUUCUUCCUUUUGACACUUUCCUCAUUUCAUUUGGGUGGUACGUACUAUUUCCAAAGGGCAGAGGGGCAGAGGAGGUGCUCGAGCGGCGGAGGAGUCGAGGCGAUUCCAUCGGGUUCCUGGCGUUUCCGAGAUCCCUCUCUACUGGAGCUUGUUUCCUCUUCGAUUCCCUGCCUUCCUGGUUAGUUCUUCUUGUCUCUCUAUCUUCUCGCGUGCGAUUUGCCAUGGUUGUGGUCGUGUAACUUCCAGAUCUAGGUCUGGGGAUUGUUUGUAGUAGUGUGUUUGUGGGUUUGUGUUCGAGAUUUUGUUGCUGUUUGAGUAUUUAGCGGUUGGUUCUGCUUCGUGGCUCGUGUAGUUUCAUGUGGAUCCCAUGUGCUCACGUCAGUUGUUAAUAUUUGUGGAUCCCGUGUGCUCGCGCUGCUAGGUUUUGGGUGUUCUCGUUUUGAUCCUCUCGUUGUAACCGCGGUUUGGUUACUCGUUUAUAAUUUUUUUCGAUUGAUGUGUUGGUCCUCUGGUAGGGUUAGAGUUUGUGUUUUUUCCCGAGAUAGGCGUGUCUCUGUGUUGAGUCUUCUUGCACAUCCCCUGCAGUUGCAGCUACCAUCUGGUAGGGUCAGGUUUUAGGUAGCAGUGCUAAUUUGGGGUUGUAAUUGUUUAGACCUAGGCGUGCACUAUAAUUGUCUAGCUUUGCUUUGUAAUUCAUGCCUUUUGACUGUAGUAGCUUUACUCUGUAAUUUUCCUCAGUUUUGCACUGUACUCUGCAAUAACCAUGGCAAUUAUAGUGUAGUCAUUCUGUACUUUUCAUUGUAAUUUCACCGAAAGUAGUCUGUAAGUAAGUACACUGUAAUUUCCCUCAAUGUACUCUGUAAUAUUCAUGGUAAUUACACUGUAAUUUCCCUCAAUGUACUCUGUAAUCCAUGGUAAUUACGCUGUAAUUUCCCUCAAUGUGCACUGUAAUAUCCAUGGCAAUUACACUCUAAUUUCCCUCUAUGUACACUGUAAUUUCCAUAUAGUAUUUACACUGUAAUUUCCCUGAAUGCACACUGUAAUAUGCAUGGUAUUUACACUAUGAUUUCCCUAUAGUAUUUACACUUUUUUUGACAGAAAUAUAGUAUUUACACUGUAAUUUCCCUCAAUGUACAAUGUAAUAUGCAUGGUAUUUUCACUAUAAUAUGCCAGUGUAAUUUCCCUAAAGUAAACUGUAUAAUUGCUCUGUAAUUCAUGUGCUUUUUGCACUGUAAUCUCCCAUUUUCACUGUAAUUCCUGUGCUUUCUUGAUUGUAUGCCUUGAUUACUCUGUAAUUUAUGUCAGGUUUGCACUGUAAUUUCUUAUGUUUUUAGUGUAAUUUGCAUUAGUUUACACUGUAAUGUGCCCUAUUUG
RNAcentral lists this long non-coding RNA (3563 nucleotides) under Triticum aestivum (bread wheat). RNAcentral's name for it is "long non-coding RNA (TAES_LNC002663)". Lineage: Eukaryota; Viridiplantae; Streptophyta; Magnoliopsida; Poales; Poaceae. The record is from RNAcentral.